This 580-nucleotide long non-coding RNA is filed under the name Apteryx rowi (Okarito brown kiwi). Its description in RNAcentral is "lncRNA (ENSARWG00000000516.1)". Lineage: Eukaryota; Metazoa; Chordata; Aves; Apterygiformes; Apterygidae. The record is from RNAcentral.
UGCAUGUUUUCCCCUUACUUCUGACUUCUAAAUCCUUUUGUUGACUGGAUUAUUUUUCUUUGCCAGAUUUUCAGCUGAUUUAUGCUCUUCCGAGAGGUCCCAACACAUCCUCCACCUUUCCUCGGCUUUGGGAGCACAUGCUUAACCUGUAAUCAGCAUGACUCAAAACAGCAUCUGUCUCUGGAGCAAAAAGAAAUAAUGAUGUGCUCUGUUCUGCUGCUCCCUGUUCAAAGAUCAUCAAAAAGCCCUGUGUUGGCACAGCUGAUGACCCCUCUUGGGAGAAGCCUAGGAUGGCCUAACUGGGCAUGGGGGGAUCAUACUGGGAGGCAAGAGUUGCUGAGAAGGAGAAAAAUUCUGCACCUCUAUCAUUGACGAAGACGAGGAAGGAUAUGAAAAAGAAUCUCCUGAUAUUCCAGUGGGUUGCAGUGGGGAAAUUGAGGCCUGAAAAGCUGCACAGGUAAUGCAUAAGAAAUCCAUAAAUAUACUUCUGACUUUUUAAAUCCUAAAGUCAUCCUCCCUCCUCCACAAACAUAAGAUUAAGGAACCAGUUAUUGAUGAAAACUGUUUGUUUUAAUGGCCA